This 437-nucleotide unclassified non-coding RNA is filed under the name uncultured Thelephoraceae. RNAcentral describes it as "sequence contains ITS2". The stretch from base 1 to 155 matches the Rfam family "5.8S ribosomal RNA". The record is from RNAcentral. Lineage: Eukaryota; Fungi; Basidiomycota; Agaricomycetes; Thelephorales; Thelephoraceae.
AACUUUUGACAAUGGAUCUCUUGGCUCUCGCAUCGAUGAAGAACGCAGCGAAAUGCGCUAAGUAAUGUGAAUUUCAGAAUUCAGUGAAUCAUCGAAUCUUUGAACGCACCUUGCGCCCCCUGGCUAUUCCAAGGGGCAUGCCUGUUUGAGUAUCAUGAACACCUCAACUCUCAUGGUUUGCCAUGAUGAGCUUGGACUCUGGGGGUUUUGCUGGCCUGCUGUCAGCUCCUCUGAAAUGAAUCAGCUUGCCAGUGUUUGGGGGCAUCAUGGGUGUGAUAACUAUCUACGCUCGUGGUCGUCCGCCAGGUAACCUUCAGUGAUGGGGGUUCGCUGGUGCUUAUAAAUGUCUCUCCUCAGCGAAGACAGCUCUUUGAAUGUUCGAUCUCAAAUCAGGUCGGACUUCCCGCUGAACUUAAGCAUAUCAAUAAGCGGAGGGU